This 465-nucleotide ribosomal RNA is filed under the name Vreelandella stevensii. RNAcentral describes it as "partial 16S ribosomal RNA". It matches the Rfam family "Bacterial small subunit ribosomal RNA", at positions 338 to 795 of the family's 1533-position model. The record is from RNAcentral. Lineage: Bacteria; Pseudomonadati; Pseudomonadota; Gammaproteobacteria; Oceanospirillales; Halomonadaceae.
CCUACGGGUGGCUGCAGUGGGGAAUAUUGGACAAUGGGGGCAACCCUGAUCCAGCCAUGCCGCGUGUGUGAAGAAGGCCCUCGGGUUGUAAAGCACUUUCAGUGAGGAAGAACGCCUGGUGGUUAAUACCCAUCAGGAAAGACAUCACUCACAGAAGAAGCACCGGCUAACUCCGUGCCAGCAGCCGCGGUAAUACGGAGGGUGCGAGCGUUAAUCGGAAUUACUGGGCGUAAAGCGCGCGUAGGUGGCUUGAUAAGCCGGUUGUGAAAGCCCCGGGCUCAACCUGGGAACGGCAUCCGGAACUGUCAAGCUAGAGUGCAGGAUAGGAAGGUAGAAUUCCCGGUGUAGCGGUGAAAUGCGUAGAGAUCGGGAGGAAUACCAGUGGCGAAGGCGGCCUUCUGGACUGACACUGACACUGAGGUGCGAAAGCGUGGGUAGCAAACAGGAUUAGAUACCCCAGUAGUC